UACCAUAUUUAUUCAUCUUAAUAAAAAUACUGUUUAUUGUUAGUUUAUGUUAGCUCAGGUGCAGUAUUAACAGAUACAAAUUUAGUUUUUAAAUAAUGAUUUUUAAAUGCUUAUAAAGAAGGAAUAAUACAUGCUUUGAGAAUUUUUUUUUGUACAGCGUUACCAAAUAUUUCUAUAUAGCUUUAUUUUUAUUUCAGUUUUAGUAAUUUUAGUACAUAAACUUCUAUUUCAGUUUAUUGCCUGUGCAACUUUUCUCUUUUUUUAUUUUCACUUUUUGAAGUUUAAUUUAAUAUAUUAUACUGUAUAUGUAUUAUAUCAUUGAUCUACUUUUUUUAUUUUUAUUUUUUUUUUUUAGCUGACAUCUCAGAUGGAGUGUACGCCUCCAUUCCUGUAUUUCCUCAAGCAACUUCAAACAGUGUUGGCUCUCAAAGCAGCACAUACCAGGCUCUGUAUGACUAUGUUGCUCAGGGCCCUGAUGAGCUCUCCAUCUCUGUGGAAGUGCUGCUCGUGGUGGAACAGGGAGGAGACGGCUGGUGGACGGUGGAGAGGGACGGCCAGACUGGGCUGGUGCCAGGCUCCUACUUGGCCAAGAUAUGAAUCAAGAGUCUAGCGCACACUGGAAAGGCUCUCCAUGUCCUUAAACGCCCUCUAAUAGCAGAGUUAUUAAGGGCACUCCCUAUAAAAGUGUCUCAGAGGAUGAUUUCUGUUUGCUAAAAGCAUUUAAGCAGUAGCACAUCCGUACUGAAAAUCUGUAUGGAACAUAGAAACAGGUUAAUGUGUAUAUUAAAAACUGAUAAUUAUACGCGACUAUCAUUAUUGUCGAGAUAGAGAUUUAUAUUUAUUAUAAAAGUUAUUUAUUGUGAAUGAAAAACGUAAGAAUGUAUAACACAAUGAGUAGCCACUACGGACUUGCCAUGAUUUAGUUCAUGCGAAGACCAUGACAAUGCACAGAUUUUGGUGAACACAAACAGAAUUCCAAAUUUUCAUCUUUUUGGAAAAGUAAUCAAUGAAACAAAAGUGAGGUCAUCUAUAAUUUUUAAAAUUAUAUCAUCUAUAAUAGAGCUCUAGGUUGAGCAUUUUGCAUUUAUCACUUGGACUGCAUAAAAUAAAAGCUGUGUAAUGAUCAUUGCAUCAUGUUGCCGUUGACUGAAUGGAAGUUGAGUAAUGGUUUGAA
Cyprinus carpio (common carp) is the source of this 1174-nucleotide long non-coding RNA. RefSeq lists it as uncharacterized. The record is from RefSeq and is a predicted model, not a curated record. The transcript is spliced from 2 exons. Lineage: Eukaryota; Metazoa; Chordata; Actinopteri; Cypriniformes; Cyprinidae.